RNAcentral lists this ribosomal RNA (497 nucleotides) under uncultured bacterium. RNAcentral describes it as "partial 16S ribosomal RNA". It matches the Rfam family "Bacterial small subunit ribosomal RNA", at positions 28 to 507 of the family's 1533-position model. The record is from RNAcentral.
GAUGAACGCUGGCGGCGUGCCUAAUACAUGCAAGUCGAGCGAACGGACGAGAAGCUUGCUUCUCUGAUGUUAGCGGCGGACGGGUGAGUAACACGUGGAUAACCUACCUAUAAGACUGGGAUAACUUCGGGAAACCGUAGCUAAUACCGGAUAAUAUUUUGAAACGCAUGGUUCAAAAGUGAAAGACGGUCUUGCUGUCACUUAUAGAUGGAUCCGCGCUGCAUUAGCUAGUUGGUAAGGUAACGGCUUACCAAGGCAACGAUGCAUAGCCGACCUGAGAGGGUGAUCGGCCACACUGGAACUGAGACACGGUCCAGACUCCUACGGGAGGCAGCAGUAGGGAAUCUUCCGCAAUGGGCGAAAGCCUGACGGAGCAACGCCGCGUGAGUGAUGAAGGUCUUCGGAUCGUAAAACUCUGUUAUUAGGGAAGAACAUAUGUGUAAGUAACUGUUCACAUCUUGACGGUACCUAAUCAGAAAGCCACGGCUAACUACGUG